CUCGUAGGCGGCCAACUAAGUCAUACGUGAAAUCCCUCAGCUUAACUGGGGAACUGCGUGUGAUACUGGAUGGCUUGGAUUUGGGAGAGGGAUGCGGAAUUCCAGGUGUAGCGGUGAAAUGCGUAGAUAUCUGGAGGAACACCGGUGGCGAAGGCGGCAUCCUGGACCAAUAUUGACGCUGAGGAGCGAAAGCCAGGGGAGCAAACGG
This 208-nucleotide ribosomal RNA is filed under the name uncultured bacterium. Its description in RNAcentral is "partial 16S ribosomal RNA". It matches the Rfam family "Bacterial small subunit ribosomal RNA", at positions 568 to 775 of the family's 1533-position model. The record is from RNAcentral.